This 434-nucleotide ribosomal RNA is filed under the name uncultured Lachnospiraceae bacterium. Its description in RNAcentral is "bacterial SSU rRNA". It matches the Rfam family "Bacterial small subunit ribosomal RNA", at positions 341 to 792 of the family's 1533-position model. The record is from RNAcentral. Lineage: Bacteria; Bacillati; Bacillota; Clostridia; Lachnospirales; Lachnospiraceae.
ACGGAAGGCAGCAGUGGGGAAUAUUGCACAAUGGGGGAAACCCUGAUGCAGCGACGCCGCGUGAGUGAAGAAGUAUUUCGGUAUGUAAAGCUCUAUCAGCAGGGAAGAAAAUGACGGUACCUGACUAAGAAGCCCCGGCUAACUACGUGCCAGCAGCCGCGGUAAUACGUAGGUGGCAAGCGUUAUCCGGAUUUACUGGGUGUAAAGGGCGCGUAGGCGGGGAUGCAAGUCAGGUGUGAAAUCUAUGGGCUUAACCCAUAAACUGCAUUUGAAACUGUAUCUCUUGAGUGUCGGAGAGGUAGAUGGAAUUCCUAGUGUAGCGGUGAAAUGCGUAGAUAUUAGGAGGAACACCAGUGGCGAAGGCGAUCUACUGGACGAUAACUGACGCUGAGGCGCGAAAGCGUGGGGAGCAAACAGGAUUAGAUACCCUGGUA